This 23-nucleotide ribosomal RNA is filed under the name rhizosphere bacterium GWR05. RNAcentral describes it as "partial 23S ribosomal RNA". The record is from RNAcentral.
GUGGAUGCCUUGGCGGUCAGAGG